CCUACGGGAGGCAGCAGUGAGGAAUAUUGGUCAAUGGUCGGGAGACUGAACCAGCCAAGCCGCGUGAGGGAUGAAGGUACAGAGUAUCGUAAACCUCUUUUGUCAGGGAACAAAGGCGGGGACGUGUCCCCGGAUGAGUGUACCUGAAGAAAAAGCAUCGGCUAACUCCGUGCCAGCAGCCGCGGUAAUACGGAGGAUGCGAGCGUUAUCCGGAUUUAUUGGGUUAAAAGGGUGCGCAGGCGGUCUGUUAAGUAAGAGGUAAAAGCCCGGGGCUCAACCCGGGCCCGCCGUUGAAACUGGCAGUCUCGAGUUGGAGAGAAGUAUGCGGAAUGCGCGGUGUAGCGGUGAAAUGCAUAGAUAUCGCGCAGAACUCCGAUUGCGAAGGCAGCAUGCCGGCUCCACACUGACGCUGAGGCACGAAAGCGUGGGUAUCGAACAGGAUUAGAUACCCCUGUAGUC
This 459-nucleotide ribosomal RNA is filed under the name uncultured bacterium. RNAcentral describes it as "partial 16S ribosomal RNA". It matches the Rfam family "Bacterial small subunit ribosomal RNA", at positions 338 to 795 of the family's 1533-position model. The record is from RNAcentral.